UAAUACAGAGGGUGCGAGCGUUAAUCGGAAUUACUGGGCGUAAAGCGCACGUAGGCGGCUUGGUAUGUCGGGUGUGAAAUCCCCGGGCUCAACCUGGGAACUGCAUCCGAAACUGCCUUGCUCGAGUAUGGGAGAGGGAAGCGGAAUUUCCGGUGUAGCGGUGAAAUGCGUAGAUAUCGGAAGGAACAUCAGUGGCGAAGGCGGCUUCCUGGACCAAUACUGACGCUCAGGUGCGAAAGCGUGGGGAGCAAACAGGAUUAGAUACCCUGGUAGUCCACGCCCUAAACGAUGACAACUGGAUGUCGGGAGGGUUUGCCUUCCGGUGUCGUAGCUAACGCGUUAAGUUGUCCGCCUGGGAAGUACGGCCGCAAGGUUGAAACUUAAAGGAAUUGACGG
RNAcentral lists this ribosomal RNA (396 nucleotides) under bacterium enrichment culture. RNAcentral's name for it is "bacterial SSU rRNA". It matches the Rfam family "Bacterial small subunit ribosomal RNA", at positions 521 to 916 of the family's 1533-position model. The record is from RNAcentral.